This 1253-nucleotide long non-coding RNA is filed under the name Nothobranchius furzeri (turquoise killifish). RNAcentral's name for it is "lncRNA (ENSNFUG00015006401.1)". Lineage: Eukaryota; Metazoa; Chordata; Actinopteri; Cyprinodontiformes; Nothobranchiidae. The record is from RNAcentral.
AUGUGCAUUACAAACAGCAGCAGCAGCAACCCACCCCCCGGCCUUCUUGCUUCUGGGUCUUUUUGUGUGUGGCCCUCAGACCAUUACUUGAGGACCCCUGACCUAAACUAUUCUCUGUACCUCAGGGUCUUGUUUCUUCUGGACAUCAUGACAAAGGAGCAGAGCCACACAGGAAAAAACUCUUUUCUGCUGCAACGCUGGAUAUACAGCAGGAACUCUCCUGGGAUCAGUUACGCAGUCUAUACCGAGGACCAUCCGGGCUGUCCAUCCUCUCAGAAGUGUCCCCCUGUCCAAGUGGUGAGAGGUCACGGUUCCAACUUGCUGCCCAACCAGGGAACACAGAGAGUUUACUUCUGAAACUCUCUCCACCACCUAUGUUUGAAGAAUAACAUCUGAUUCAACACAGAUGUUGUUGGGCAGAGGCCACUUGUGUGUGGGUUUUUGUCCAUUUUAAUGUGAACUAGCUGAACGAUUUUAAAGUACCUGUAAAUAAUCUUAACUGGAGCGUUUAGACUUUGGUCUGGUCUAGUGUCAGGCUGCUGUUACUGUUCAGACUGUGUAGAAGAUGAAUGAUAACCAUUUACGUCAGUUUUGUACUUGAAGAUUGUUGCUAAGUAACAUGAAUCACUGCUUUAUUAACAACAAAAGUAAUAAAAAUGCAGAGUAGAAAACAUUUGACUUUUGUCACCUAAUGUAUUGGUAACAUGAGGAGCUCCAAAUGUUCCAUUAAAAGCUUUUCUGUUGCAUGUUUGAAGCCUAAAGUAAAAAAUGUCUUAAAGCUUUUCCAGCGAUGCGUCCUUUUUGGAUUAGUUUGUCACUGAAGUAAGGAGUCGCUUACAGCAUUACCUAAAUACAUGACAUCACACUUGUGUACUUCUGCUUCCACACACGAGUUUCAUCACAUUAAAUUAAAUUGUAAUAAGCAAGCGCCCCAUAUAAAUUCUACUAAUUGAUUUUCUUGGUUAAUCUGACACUUGGUUUAAUAACCUCGAAACAGCAGCCGUGGACGCCGAAAAAGGGUCGACCUCUGGGACACCAACAUUGCGGAUAUUUUGACGUCUAGAACAAGACUCCAAGUCGUCACAUUUAUCCUCGUCUCGCCACAGCUUUGGUUAGAUGAUCCACUUUUCCCUGGAGGCCAACGACAUCAUCAGUGAAGGUGGACAAGGACUGCACUAUUUCAGCUACCGUUACCUUUAGCCCAGUGAAGUUCUCCUGCAUUGCUGACAAGCCAGAGGAUAAUUCCUUUUUGA